ACACUAGUUCAAGAUCUCUGUGGCGGCCGGCGGCCAUCUUGGAUGAGAGGUAAACAACAACAUGAGCUGGACGGCGAUGUCAGCUCGUCUACAAGAGUGGGAAGGCAGUCAUCGGGAGGACAAACCCUUCAUGCAAACUGCACCUACUAUUAAGAAGAAAAAGAAGGAGUAGGAAGAGCUUGUUGUCAGCUGCUGACGAGGAGCUGAAGACUAAGCGCUUGUAGUAAAGGAGGAGGAAGCCUAUCGAUUAUAAUCAUAAGAGGUUAUCAUUAUGCAGCAAGACGUACAUUGGACGUGCCAAUACCCGGUAUCUUAAACUCGUGUAAGUGGCUGACCAUCUUUAUGCAGUAAGACAUAUACUGGACGUGCCAGUACCCAGUGUCAUAAACUCGUGUAAGUGCCUGAUUGUUAUUACAUAGCAAGACGUACAUGGGAUGUGCCAAUACCAGAUCAUAAAAUUGUGUAAGUGACAAGUUUGUAGAGAUUGAAUAAAGGUUUUAGUGAUGUG
Long non-coding RNA from Procambarus clarkii (red swamp crayfish), 508 nucleotides. RefSeq lists it as uncharacterized. The record is from RefSeq and is a predicted model, not a curated record. Lineage: Eukaryota; Metazoa; Arthropoda; Malacostraca; Decapoda; Cambaridae.